UACACAGAGAGUUUCAGGACAGCUA
This 25-nucleotide unclassified non-coding RNA is filed under the name Mus musculus (house mouse). RNAcentral describes it as "oocyte_clustered_small_RNA6959". Lineage: Eukaryota; Metazoa; Chordata; Mammalia; Rodentia; Muridae. The record is from RNAcentral.